ACAAUUAUAGCUAACCUACAAGGACCCAAAAGAGCUUGGGUUCCUAAGUUGAAAAUAUGAUUAUUCUUCAGCAAGUAUGUCUAGCUAUCCAAGGUUCUAAUAAAAGAUGUUAUCUAAACAAUGGGUGCUCUAGACAUGUGCUAAGAAAUUGAAUUUAAAAUGUAAUUAAGAAGAAUGAGUUAAAUAAAAGAAAUAAUGAUAUAAGUUAUUAUUGCAUCCUCUCAUAUUGAAAUUACUUUAGUAUUCGAUUAAAAUAUGAAUUGCAUGUAUUGAUCAAUUUUGUGAUAUAGAAAAUACUUUUGGAAAUAUAAUCAAAUCACUUCAUUUUUUAGUAUACUUUACUCACUAUUGGAUAAGUUGCAAAAUGAUUAAUU
This 374-nucleotide long non-coding RNA is filed under the name Phoenix dactylifera (date palm). RNAcentral's name for it is "long non-coding RNA (PDAC_LNC022767)". The record is from RNAcentral. Lineage: Eukaryota; Viridiplantae; Streptophyta; Magnoliopsida; Arecales; Arecaceae.